AUACUCUGGUUUCUCUUCAAAUCGUAUAAAUCUUUCGCCUUUUACUAAAGAUUUCCGUGGAGAGAAGCAACUCUGAGUUUUUGUUUAAUUUUUUGAGGUCUUGCGCUUGCAGGACU
Molecule: small nuclear RNA, 116 nt
Organism: Manis javanica (Malayan pangolin)
Lineage: Eukaryota; Metazoa; Chordata; Mammalia; Pholidota; Manidae
Product: U5 spliceosomal RNA
Source: RefSeq, a predicted model, not a curated record